This is a non-coding RNA of Oryzias latipes (Japanese medaka), 2249 nucleotides long. Lineage: Eukaryota; Metazoa; Chordata; Actinopteri; Beloniformes; Adrianichthyidae. The record is from RefSeq and is a predicted model, not a curated record.
UUAAUGUUUCUUUACUGUAUGUCAUGUGAUUGUCCUGAAAAAAGUUGUAAAAAAAAUGAAAAAUAAAGAAAAUAAUAGAUUUGCUUCCUGGUUUAAAGUUGAGCUUUAAAAGGCAAAAGUUAGAUUGAUCACUGCCCUGUGAGGAUCCUGGUGAACCUCUGCACACUCACCAGGGCCCGGCUGGAUCGUGUCAUCUGCUCUGCAAGCCUCUCCUCACAGCAGCUGCACAUCUGCAGGGCCCAGAGACAAGCCGCCGGGAUCGCAGCUGGCCCCUCCCACCACGCACAGCCACUCCCACUCUGGCAGGAGGCUCUGGUCCAUUGGAACAAAGAUCUGCUGCUUCAGAACUUUAAUUGUUUCAGAAAUGAAGAAUACUGUAGAUUAAAAAACCACAAGUUCUUUUGAACUUUAACCAAACGCGUCCAGAAAACGAUCAAGUAAAUGAAAAAGUGAAGGCUGCCGCGUUCCGUUAACAUUUUCAAACACUCACAUUGACUUUACAGCUGAAACAGAUUCAUAAGACAUUAAUCUUUAAUGUUUCCAGCUUUAGUGCUGACAGAACAGAACACAUCAGGAAUGUUCAAUCAGAGAAUUCUUUGUCCAAAUAUGACAUUUUUCUGUUGCUUUUGAUGACUAACCAGUCCUGUGUAGCGUUCCCCAAACCAGACAAACCUCAGAAGAGGAUAUUUAUAGCUGCUCUACUUUUCUCUGCAGGAGAUCAACAAGUCACAGACUUUCUGCUCCAAAGAGUAUCAACAUUACAAGCAGCUGCUCGGGAUCAACUAAUAAAAGUAGAUGCCUCCAACCUUCAAGGUCUCCCACGUGUCGGCAGCUAUUUUAACCAGGGAGCCAAGAAACAGGACGAAAGCAGCUUCAGGCGUGACGGAAGAGGAUGGUGGCUUGACAAAGAAACAUACGGGUUACUUGAAGGGAGCUUGGCUGAAAUGCCUUUUCCUCUAGAGGGCGCACCAGGCCUGACCGAGUAAGGAAGUGAUACCAACUACCCAUUAAUGAUCACGGCAGGGGGGUACAGGCUUUACCCCAAUGGCUUUCAUCAGGAUCCGUGUCAGCUUAACGCGUGAGCGGGGAAUUAAGCUGAAUGAAAACAUCGACACCCCACCCGUUUCAUUCUGAGGAAGAACACCGCCAUAACCCUAACACACUCACACGUUCAGUGCAGCCGUUACAGUUUUAAUCAGUGGACAUUCAGCAGAAAUCAUACUUUGUCAUCAUCAUUUACAACUGGGGUAGAACAGUGGAACAGUGGACAGCACUUUCUCCUCACAGUGAUGGAGUUGGAAUCCCGGUUGAGACCUUUCUGUGUGGAGUUUGCAUGCUCUCCUGGUUCAUGUGUGGCUUUUUCUUCGUCUUCCUUGCACAGUCCAACCAGAUGCUUCAUGUCUCUGUGUGGUCCUGCGACGACUGGAUAACUGUAGAGUGACCCCCCCCCUCCUCCUCCUCCUCUAUUCACCCAUCAGCAGCUGUGUAGGCUCCAGUGACCCCAUGACCCCCAACAAUAGGCAGGUAUCAAAAAUAAAUUACUUUAAAAACCACAAAAAAACAUUUGAAAGCAGCUCAUUUAGAAAAUGAAAAUAUUCCAGUUUAAACUGAAGUAAAAGUUUCUUUUUUCAUAUUAUUCAAACUUAUGAAACAUCUCAACUUUUCCAGGAUUCAUCUGUACUUUCUUUAUUUUUGGCGAUGAUAAACUGAUUCAGUGUUUUAAUUCUAAUGUUUAUCAGAUCAUCGAAGAAGCGAAAAUUCAAGCUCAGACACAUAGAACCCAGAAUUUAAUCAAAACCCCAAAAUAAAAAAUGUCUGCAGACGAGGUAAAACGGUACAGAAAAAACAUUUACACUACGGCUGUGUUAAAUGUAACCACAAGGGGCGCAAUCCAGUGAUUAUGUGUGCCAGUCCCAAGUCUGAGUAAACGCAGACAGUUGUGUCACGAAGGACGUCAUGUGGGAAACAUAAUGAGGAACUCAAGUGGAAUAAUGAGGUUACAGGGGGCGGAGGUGAGGAAGGUGGAGGACUUUAAGCACUGGGGGUCACAAGUCCAGAUCAACAGAGUGUGGGAAAGAAGUGGAGAUGUACGCAACCGGUUGGAACGGGUGGAGGAAGGUUUCAGGUGUAAUGUGUGACUAAAAAAAUGUCAGCUAAAUGAAGGGAAAUGUGUAGAAGACUGUGAGGGAAGCAGCCAUUAGAGAGUGAGAAAGAGACAAGAGGCAGAUCAGGAGGUAGCAGAGAUGAAG